UUCUCUCUCUAAUAAACCACUGUUUCAACAUGUGUAGCUCUAAUUCGACAAACGAAUGUCGGCAUAAACAGCAACAAUAGUAUUGCUGUAGUAUAAAACGAAUAAAGCACUUCCUAUACAAACACACUUGACAAAAGCCGCCGCAGUAAAAGUGCGAGUGAGCUACUUAAAACCUAAUAACACCUGUUACAUCCGUGCUGCGUUUCUCAAUAACGUUGUUUCUCAGCGUGAAAUGAAGACUCUCAUACCUUUUCUAGGCGUGUUCCUUGAACUAUACUUUAGCAGGUUAAUUAAGGUAGCUUAUACUUUCCUGUGUACGACGUUCAGGUGCUGUCCACGGCGUUGGUGCUGAAUUUACAGAUAGCGAUCUUUCUAGUUACGUAUUUCAUAUACAGGCAUGUUUUUGGACACAUAUUUAUUUUUAGACAACAUGCUUUUAGCAUUAUCAUGUGGUUGUGUGUACAUUAUAGUGAAUAGUUAUUUUACAAUGGGAGGUAAAAUACUAUUUUGUAUUAUCAAUUUAUUUUAUUAUCAAAUAAAAUAUUUUAAUUGUUUAAUUGUCCAAUUUCUUUUAGAGUAUAUUGCAGCAGAACAUAUGUUUUAAACCCCUCAACACUCUAGACAGCCAUAGACAUGAUGUGGAAUGCCAAACUGACCCUCAACAAGUCAUGGCAGUGGGCACACAAUCUGAGGCAUCUCCAAAAAUGAAGUCGGUCGGUACACAAUUGUCUAUGGGGACACUGACUGACAGGCAUAUGAGAAGCAAAGGCACACAGGCAGGGGUUUCAUGUGCCAGUGUUUCAACCGAAACAUCUAGAUACUCAGGCUUUACAUUCAGAUGCCAACCUCAAAUGUCAUCAACACCUUUAAAGGACCCAGAUUUUAGACCAAGGAAAAGACCACGUAUGGAAUUUGAGGAAGAAGAGGGAGAAUCUGAGAGAGAAUCACAGGGUGAUCCUCUUGACUCAACAUAUGACCCAGAUGACACUGUUGUUUCAGAAGAAUCUGAAUUGUCGUUUGAGCAAAGACCAUCAUACACUGAGAAAAAAUAUAUUGUUUUUGAAAGCUGCCUCAGAGAACUGUUUGACCUCUGUCAGCUAUGCAAGAAAAGGUGUGAUGUUCAGCAACGACAAAUGGGUACUUUUGUGUCAUUCUAUCAGUUAUGCCCAAACUGUAAUUACACCAGACGGUGGCAAAGCCAGCCCAUUCUUGGCAGUACACCCAUUGGAAACCUUCAACUAUCUGCAGCCACAUAUUUCACUGGUGCAUCCUUUAUCCAGAUAGAAAAGGUAUUCCAAGCCAUGCGUCUUCAGACCUUUCAUUAUAACACGUUCAGACGACAUGCCAGGAAUUUCUUGUAGCCUGCUAUUGUACACAAAUGGAAAAGGGAUCAGAAUAAUAUGUUUCAGCAGUUACAACAAGAAGGGAAUAUUGCAAUUGCUGGAGAUAUGCGAGCAGACUCACCGGGACACUCAGCCAAGUAUGGCACCUACACUAUACUUAACCUGGGCAGCAACACCAUUAUUGACCUACAACUUGUUCAGAGCAAUGAAGUAGGUGGAAGUUACCAUAUGGAAAAGGAGGGCUUACCCUACAGUCACAUUAGCUACAAAAGUGAACGACACCGAGCGACACGCACUCGCUUGAUGGGCGUUCCUUGGGUAGUUUCUCAAAGCGGUAUCAAAAGUCACUUUAGAGGUAUUGUUAAGUUACAAGAACGGUGUUUUUGGAUUUAAAAGUAUUUAUUUCUCGAUAAAAGUAACAAAAUAUAUAAGAUAAAAUGCCAAACUUAUCAGAUAUAUACAUAAAUACGCAUUUUCCGCCAUCUUGAAUUAUUUUCUCAGACUCGACCACAGACCUACGUCACGCUGCUCCUUCACUCUGAUUGGCAAUCGCUUUGUCGCAUCGCUCAGUAUUUGCAUAAAAUAGCCUGCUUGUCUAUUUUGGCCCCGCCUUGCUCGCGCAGUGGCGAGCUCGUCGCUUGUCGCUGGCAAACGGCCACUUCCAUUGAAAAUGAAUGGUAGCAUGUCGCUCUGUCUCUGUCGCUUGUAGCUAAUGUGACUGGGGGGUUAAAGCGAUGUCUAGAUCUUCUGGAGUCAAAUGAACUGGCAGUGGAUUACAUUGUAACCGACCGGCAUCCACAGAUUCAGAAGUAUCUGAGAGAACGCAACAUCACACAUUUCUAUGAUGUAUGGCACUUUGAGAAAGGUUUGUCUAAAAAACUAGUCCAGCUUGCACAAAACAAGGAGUGUGAGGUGUUGAAGAAGUGGCUGCACAGCAUCAAAAUGUUUACUGGAGUGCGACAUCCUCAACAUCAGGACCUGAGAAGGUGGCCAAGUAAACUUCGUUAAUCAACCACCUUCAAAAUGUGCAUGUCCACGAGGACCCUAUAUUUCGUGUGAACAUCCGGACAGAGUUUCAAGGGAUCCUAAGAAAUGGUUACAACCAGGGUCAAUAGUUCCACACAAAGUAGAAAAAGUACUCAUCAACAAGAGAGUUCUCAAAGAUGUUGAAAAGCUUAGUCAUCACCACCAAACAUCAUCGCUGGGGGCCUUCCACAGCUUGAUCCUGCGCUUUGCACCAAAGAACGUGGUUUUUCCAUUUAUUGGAAUGUUGUGCCGGUUGUACCUUACGGUAAUGCACUACAAUGAAAAUGCAGACCGUGUGCAAGCAACAACAUUAGCAGGACAAGCUAAGUACAAGGUUGUGUUUCCAAAAUCCAAGAAGGGUGAAUGCAUCGCUAGGCCUAUAAAAACUGAACCUACAUACAAUUAUGUGGAUGAUCUGAUUAGGCUCUUGUUUGAUGAGGUGUUUGAGGACCCAGUACCAUUUGUUGCACAACUAAAAGAAAUACCAGUUCCCAUGGACCUGGCGUCACAAUAUGACAGACCAUCAAAGGAGGAAGUGAUUGCCCGCCAUGUCUCACGCUUCAGUCAAGGGGUGGUUGGAAGCCAACAUAGUGGCCAGCCAGAUCUGGAAACUCCUGACGUAUCCGGAGUACAACACAUGACGGGAUAACAACCCUGACAUGCCGGCCUAAGUAGCCCCAACACCAACUGACAAAGCUGCGAUAAGCAAGAAAACGAUAACCCCUGUAACAAAAAAACAAUUCAAUGUGUGUAAAUAUGUAUGUUCAUGUAUAUAGUUAACAUUUAUUUAUUUAUAGUU
Non-coding RNA from Misgurnus anguillicaudatus (oriental weatherfish), 3168 nucleotides. The record is from RefSeq and is a predicted model, not a curated record. NCBI's taxonomy places the organism in Eukaryota, Metazoa, Chordata, Actinopteri, Cypriniformes, Cobitidae.